RNAcentral lists this transfer RNA (63 nucleotides) under Scolytinae sp. BMNH 1040174. Its description in RNAcentral is "tRNA-Cys". The record is from RNAcentral. Lineage: Eukaryota; Metazoa; Arthropoda; Insecta; Coleoptera; Curculionidae.
AAUUAUAUAGUCAUAUUAUGAUAUUGAAUUGCAAAUUCAAAGGUGAGAAAAUUUCUGUAAUUU